AUCUCGGCUCACUGCAAGCUCCCCCUCCCGGUUUCACACCAUUCUCCGGCCUCAGCCCCUCUCCGAGUAGCUGGGACUACAGGCGCCCGCCACCACGCCUGGCUAAUUUUUUGUAUUUUUAGUAGAGACGGGGUUUCACCGUGUUAGCCAGGAUGGUCUCGAUCUCCUGGCCUCGUGAUCCAGCCGCCUCGGCCUCCCAAAGUGCUGGGAUUACAAGCGUGAGCCACUGCACCCGGCCUUCACAUCCUAAAUUAUAUCCAAGCUCUCAUGUCUAUUAUCUCUUAUUUCCCUCUUCCUCUUUUUCCUUCUUUUCUUCCCAUUCACCUUUGUUUCUUAUUCUCUUUCCGUCAUACACGCACAGCCACAUACACACACACACACACACCUACUUUAUAUUCUGAAACAAUAACAUAAACAAAUAAUCACACCCAGUCUUAUAUCCAGUUACCAAGUCUCAUAAUUUUUCUUAAAUAACAGCAAUUAUG
RNAcentral lists this long non-coding RNA (485 nucleotides) under Pan troglodytes (chimpanzee). RNAcentral describes it as "long non-coding RNA NONPTRT014682". Lineage: Eukaryota; Metazoa; Chordata; Mammalia; Primates; Hominidae. The record is from RNAcentral.